UUGGAGGGCAAGUCUGGUGCCAGCAGCCGCGGUAAUUCCAGCUCCAAUAGCGUAUAUUAAAGUUGCUGCAGUUAAAAAGCUCGUAGUUGAAUUUCGGGACCAUCAUGUCGGUCGUGCCUCGGUACGUACUGGUAUUGUUGGUUUCUCCCUUCUGACGAACCAUGAUGUCAUUUAUUUGGUGUUGUGGGGAAUCAGGACUGUUACUUUGAAAAAAUUAGAGUGCUUAAAGCAGGCUCACGCUUGAAUACAUUAGCAUGGAAUAAUGAAAUAGGACGUUUGAUUCUAUUUUGUUGGUUUCUAGGAUCGACGUAAUGAUUAAUAGGGAUAGUUGGGGGCAUUAGUAUUCAAUUGUCAGAGGUGAAAUUCUUGGAUUUAUUGAAGACUAACUACUGCGAAAGCAUUUGCCAAGGAUGUUUUCAUUAAUCAAGAACGAAAGUUAGGGGAUCGAAGACGAUCAGAUACCGUCGUAGUCUUAACCAUAAACUAUGCCGACUAGGGAUCGGAUGAUGUUAAUUUUUUAAUGACUCAUUCGGCGCCUUACGGGAAAC
This 548-nucleotide ribosomal RNA is filed under the name uncultured Glomeraceae. RNAcentral describes it as "SSU rRNA". It matches the Rfam family "Eukaryotic small subunit ribosomal RNA", at positions 548 to 1098 of the family's 1831-position model. Lineage: Eukaryota; Fungi; Glomeromycota; Glomeromycetes; Glomerales; Glomeraceae. The record is from RNAcentral.